RNAcentral lists this ribosomal RNA (490 nucleotides) under uncultured bacterium. RNAcentral describes it as "partial 16S ribosomal RNA". It matches the Rfam family "Bacterial small subunit ribosomal RNA", at positions 899 to 1397 of the family's 1533-position model. The record is from RNAcentral.
ACUCAAAUGAAUAGACGGGGACCCGCACAACCGGUGGAGCGUGUGGUUCAAUUCGAUACGAAACGAAGAACCUCACCAGGGUUUGACAUGUAACCGUUUAUGCUUUUGGAAACAUUAGCAAAUCCGCAAGGAUGGUUACACAGGUGCUGCAUGGCUGUCGUCAGCUCGUGCCGUGAGGUGUUCCCUUAAGUGGGGAAACGAGCGCAACCCCUGUUGAAUGUUAAAUAUUCAUUCGAUACGGUCCCGAUUAUAUCGGGAAGGAAGGAAGGGAAGACGUCAAGUCAGCAUGGUCCUUACACCCUGGGCUACACACACACUACAAUGGCGAAAAACAAUGGGCAGCAAGCUAGCAAUAGCAAGCAAAUCCCUUAAAUUUCGCCUCAGUUCAGAUUGGGGUCUGAAACCCGACCCCAUGAAGUCGGAAUCGGUAGUAAUCGCGGAUCAGCAAGCCGCGGUGAAUACGUUCUCGGGUCUUGUACACACCGCCCGU